CUGAGAUCGAGCCGAAUAUGAGUCCUUGGAAUAAAAUUUAAUUCUCAAAUUAUAUUUAUUAUAUUUUAAUUUAAUUAUUGAAAUUUUAUAAAUAAAUAAGUUUCUUUUAUGUUUAUAUUGGACCAAAAUUUUUAUAGUAAAAAUUUAUCUUUUGCAUAUAUAGGUUCCUGCAAAUAUAGUGAAUGAUAAAUAUGUUUCUAUAAAGUUCAACUUAAUUUAAUAUGUUGUCUCUAUAAAAGUCUUGAUAUUUUCAAAUAUAUCUCUAUCAUUAGAAUCCGUUAGAAAAAUUUAAUUAGUCAUAGGCUAAAUAUUUAAUCUUGAUUAGUUUUUGAUAUUUUUAUCAUUCUUAUAUUAUACUGUUAUGACUUUUAGAGAAAUAUAUUUGUGAGGGCAAAAUUAAAAAUAUAAAUGGUUCUCUAACGGUUUUUUGACGGUAACAAAUUAGAGAUAUAUAUAUAUAUAUAUAUAUAUAUAUAUAUAUAUAUAUAUUCGAGCUAUAUCAAACCGAAUGCAAACGAACUAAUCUCAACUCGCGUCUGACUCGUUAAGAUAUCAAGCUAAAAAAUUUAACUUGUAUUCAACUCAUUUAUUAAAUAAACAAUUCGUUCUGAAACCCAUUUUAAAUCAAAUACGAGUUGGCUCGCAAACAGUACGGAUGGAAUUGUCAGCCCAGCUAGCUUGUUAAUAGCAAGGUUU
This 696-nucleotide long non-coding RNA is filed under the name Ananas comosus (pineapple). RNAcentral describes it as "long non-coding RNA (ACOM_LNC008248)". The record is from RNAcentral. Lineage: Eukaryota; Viridiplantae; Streptophyta; Magnoliopsida; Poales; Bromeliaceae.